RNAcentral lists this unclassified non-coding RNA (227 nucleotides) under Hevea brasiliensis (rubber tree). The record is from RNAcentral. Lineage: Eukaryota; Viridiplantae; Streptophyta; Magnoliopsida; Malpighiales; Euphorbiaceae.
GGCCCAUCUUUCUUCAGCUUUCCCCAAUCUGCAUAAUUCAUAUCAUUAACAACCCCUCAAAAAUAAGCCUUGUCCUCAAGGCUGAAGUAUGGAAAUUGAUGCUGCAUGUCAACUGAAUCCAUCCAGUUCAUGAAGCCCUCAAAGUCACACACAACUUUUAGUCAAUCAAAGCCAGAAGGGUUGAAGAGAAAGAGAAAAAUCUGCCCCUUUUUUUCUUUCUAUCCUCU